UCGUCGACGAUGGUCGGCGAGAUGAAGUGGAUGUGCGUGUCGAUGCCGCCCGCGGUGAGUAUCUUGCCGUUGCCCGCGAGGACUUCGGUCUCAGGACCGAUGACGAGGUCGGGGUGCACGCCGUCCAUCGUGUCCGGGUUGCCGGCCUUGCCGAUGCCGGUGAUCCGGCCGUCGCGGAUGCCGACGUCGGCCUUGAUCACGCCCCAGUGGUCGAUGAUCACGGCGCCCGUGAUGACGGUGUCGGGCGUUCCUUCGGCGCGGGUCGCCCGGGACUGGCCCAUCGACUCGCGG
RNAcentral lists this small RNA (291 nucleotides) under Streptomyces aurantiacus JA 4570. RNAcentral's name for it is "5' ureB small RNA". It matches the Rfam family "5' ureB small RNA". Lineage: Bacteria; Bacillati; Actinomycetota; Actinomycetes; Kitasatosporales; Streptomycetaceae. The record is from Rfam by way of RNAcentral.